This 468-nucleotide ribosomal RNA is filed under the name uncultured bacterium. RNAcentral's name for it is "partial 16S ribosomal RNA". It matches the Rfam family "Bacterial small subunit ribosomal RNA", at positions 28 to 507 of the family's 1533-position model. The record is from RNAcentral.
GACGAACGCUGGCGGCGUGCUUAACACAUGCAAGUCGAACGGAAAGGCCCUGCUUUUGUGGGGUGCUCGAGUGGCGAACGGGUGAGUAACACGUGAGUAACCUGCCCUUGACUUUGGGAUAACUUCAGGAAACUGGGGCUAAUACCGGAUAGGAGCUCCUGCUGCAUGGUGGGGGUUGGAAAGUUUCGGCGGUUGGGGAUGGACUCGCGGCUUAUCAGCUUGUUGGUGGGGUAGUGGCUUACCAAGGCUUUGACGGGUAGCCGGCCUGAGAGGGUGACCGGCCACAUUGGGACUGAGAUACGGCCCAGACUCCUACGGGAGGCAGCAGUGGAGAAUAUUGCACAAUGGGCGGAAGCCUGAUGCAGCAACGCCGCGUGCGGGAUGACGGCCUUCGGGUUAUAAACCGCUUUCGCCUGUGACGAAGCGUGAGUGACGGUAAUGGGUAAAAAAGCACCGGCUAACUACGUG